Molecule: ribosomal RNA, 255 nt
Filed under: Escherichia coli
Lineage: Bacteria; Pseudomonadati; Pseudomonadota; Gammaproteobacteria; Enterobacterales; Enterobacteriaceae
Description: partial 23S ribosomal RNA
Rfam family: Bacterial large subunit ribosomal RNA
Source: RNAcentral
CUUGACACUGAACAUUGAGCCUUGAUGUGUAGGAUAGGUGGGAGGCUUAGAAGUGUGGACGCCAGUCUGCAUGGAGCCGACCUUGAAAUACCACCCUUUAAUGUUUGAUGUUCUAACGUGGACCCGUAAUCCGGGUUGCGGACAGUGUCUGGUGGGUAGUUUGACUGGGGCGGUCUCCUCCUAAAGAGUAACGGAGGAGCACGAAGGUUGGCUAAUCCUGGUCGGACAUCAGGAGGUUAGUGCAAUGGCAUAAGC